This is a regulatory RNA element of Ruminiclostridium sp., 97 nucleotides long. It matches the Rfam family "pemK RNA". The record is from Rfam. NCBI's taxonomy places the organism in Bacteria, Bacillati, Bacillota, Clostridia, Eubacteriales, Oscillospiraceae.
AUAAUGAUACUUGCGUCCAGUCCUAAAGCCGAGCGUGACCCGUCGCAGCAAAGGAGGGCGCCCUGCGGAGAUCCCGCAGGUGGUGAGAUUCCAAUGA